This 305-nucleotide ribosomal RNA is filed under the name uncultured bacterium. RNAcentral's name for it is "bacterial SSU rRNA". It matches the Rfam family "Bacterial small subunit ribosomal RNA", at positions 336 to 632 of the family's 1533-position model. The record is from RNAcentral.
CUCCUACGGGGGGCAGCAGUGGGGAAUCUUCCGCAAUGGGCGCAAGCCUGACGGAGCAAUGCCGCGUGAACGAAGAAGGUCUUCGGAUUGUAAAGUUCUGUCCUUAUCGAAGAGAGGGUAUAGAGUGAAGAAUGAUAUACUAGGACGGUAGAUGAGGAGGAAGCCCCGGCUAACUACGUGCCAGCAGCCGCGGUAAUACGUAGGUGGCAAGCGUUAUCCGGAUUUACUGGGUGUAAAGGGCGUGUAGGCGGGAGUGCAAGUCAGAUGUGAAAACUAUGGGCUCAACCCAUAGCCUGCAUUUGAAA